RNAcentral lists this ribosomal RNA (465 nucleotides) under uncultured bacterium. Its description in RNAcentral is "bacterial SSU rRNA". It matches the Rfam family "Bacterial small subunit ribosomal RNA", at positions 917 to 1382 of the family's 1533-position model. The record is from RNAcentral.
GGGCCCGCACAAGCGGUGGAGCAUGUGGUUCAAUUCGACGCAACGCGAAGAACCUUACCUGGACUAGACAACAGCGGACCGUCCUAGAAAUAGGAUUUUCCUUUCGGGGACCGCUGGUUCAGGUGCUGCAUGGCUGUCGUCAGCUCGUGCCGUGAGGUGUUGGGUUAAGUCCCGCAACGAGCGCAACCCUCGUACUUAGUUGCCACCAUUCAGUUGGGCACUCUAGGUAGACUGCCGGCGUUAAGCCGGAGGAAGGUGGGGACGACGUCAAGUCAUCAUGGCCCUUAUGUCCAGGGCCACACACGUGCUACAAUGGACGGUACAAAGGGUCGCGAACCCGUGAGGGGGAGCCAAUCCCAAAAAGCCGUUCUCAGUUCGGAUUGGAGUCUGCAACUCGACUCCAUGAAGUUGGAAUCGCUAGUAAUCGCGGAUCAGCACGCCGCGGUGAAUACGUUCCCGGGCCUU